Macaca mulatta (Rhesus monkey) is the source of this 1734-nucleotide non-coding RNA. NCBI's taxonomy places the organism in Eukaryota, Metazoa, Chordata, Mammalia, Primates, Cercopithecidae. The record is from RefSeq and is a predicted model, not a curated record.
AGGCAGCCGUAGCCAGUAUGUAAGUGAAUAAACAUUCCUGUGUGCCAGCAAAGCUUUGUUGAUAAAAACAAACUGCAGGCUGGAUCAGAUACAGCCGUUUCCGGAGGGUGCUUUGGAUUUCAGGGUUCGUUUUCUUUGCUUGUCCUUCCUGAACCAUCUCUGCUUCUGCCAUCCGCCGGGUCACCUGCAGCAACAGGAGCUCCAAGAUAUGUCCUUUGCCCUUCGUGAACACAUCCACCAGGGUCUGGAUAAAGCACGAGCCUUUCUGAUCAUGUCGGUAGGCGAUGUAUCCUGGGAAUUCCAGAGAGGAUCCUUUUGUUCUGAAACAAGAAGAGGAGGAGGCAAAGUCAGAGAGAAAGAGCAAGUGCUGUGACGAAAGAGGAACCAAAGAUUGUGAGGGAGGAAGUGGAAGAAGCAUAGCCCUGGAGCCAGACAAAUCAGAACCAAAUCCUGCCUCAGUCCCUUCCCAGCUGUGUGCCCUUCGGCAUCUCACUCUCCUCUCUGAGACUCGAUUUUCCCAUCCGCAAAGGACCUGGGGAGAGCUCCAGGUGCGUAACAGCAGUGGCAACCCAGGUAAAUUUUAUGAUCCCUCUUGACCUCCUGGAACUUUCCUCUUCCUUUUCUGUACUCUCCCAGCUCUGCUUGUUCCUACUUGAAUUACAGCAGUGUUUUUGGUUCUUACUCUCAUGGCUGAACUGGCAGCUCAGCUUUCAGGACUGAAAGCCCGACUUCAUUGAUCUGUCUCCAUCACGGCUAAACAGUGCGGCAGGGAGCACAGAGGUGGUAUUGGAGAGAAUUUGCUGAGUAAACAAAGAAGAAAGAGAUGAACAGAUGAAAGAAAGAGUGGAUGGAUGGAAAUUUCUUCCGUUCUGCCAAAACUGGCCAGAGUGUUAAUUCAUGAAGGGAGAGGGAGCGUAUGUGUGUAUGUGUAUGUAUGUGUGUGUGUGAGGGAGAGAGAGAGAGAGCGAGAGAGAUUGAGAGAGAGAGAGAGAGAGAGCGAGAGAGAGAGGCUAAUGUCCACCAAAUCACUUACCGACUCUAGAGGCAGCUGUUCCUCAAGGCCAAGUUCAAGCUCGCUACUCUGCUAGUUGCCAGUACAGAGCUGGGCACCGAGGAGGAGUCAGGCCCACGUGCUAAUCUUGGAGAAGGGGCUGACAGUGUGGAAUCUCCCGGGGUUUCUCCUGAGAGGCCUGGUCUAUGAAUUGGGUGGCACAAUCAUCUGGCCCUUUAUUGCCAGUGAGUUUUCUAUCACCCAAGAAACCUCAGGACACACCCUUGGCACAGCUGUGGUGUGGAAAUGGAGCCACCGCCAAUGGGAUGAGUGAUCACAAGGCUGAGUGGACUCCCUCUGGCAAAGGUGGCCUAGGCAGAGCGUCUAAAUUAUCCAGAGGUCUGUGCCAGCCCAACCGCAACCUCUCCCAACCCCCAUCUCAUAGCCAGCUCAUCUGGUUAUUAUCGUCAUCACUGUGCCUAGUUUAUUCAUUUCACCUUCCACUGUGUAGAUAACACCGUCUUCACUUACUUAUUAUCUCAUGGAGUCUUCAAGAGUCUGGAGAGAUCAGUAUUGUUGUUCCUAUUUUGCACAUGGGGAAACUGAGGCUCAUAGAGGUGAAAUGACUGCUCAAAGAUCAGUAAUUGGCACAGUUGGCAUUCAAACCUAUAAGGGGUGAGGUGUGGUGGCUCACGUCUGUAGUCCCAGCUCUUUGGGAGGCCAAGGCAGGAGGAUCACUUGAG